Molecule: long non-coding RNA, 239 nt
Organism: Octopus sinensis (East Asian common octopus)
Lineage: Eukaryota; Metazoa; Mollusca; Cephalopoda; Octopoda; Octopodidae
Exons: 3
Source: RefSeq, a predicted model, not a curated record
UAGUGGAGACCCCACUAGGAAAUCUUCAAGUUGAUUUAAAAUUAAUACAAGAAUUGAGAAAUACUAAAAUAUUUAAAGAAAUAAAUAUACAACAGGAUAUGGACGAACAUUCUCUCGAAAUGCAAUAUCCAUUUAUUUACAAAAUAUUCGGAGGAUCAAUUAAAAUUGUCCCAAUCAUGGUGGGGUCCUGUGAUUCUGAAAUGUCGAGAAGAACUGCAAAAAUCCUCUCAAAAUAUUUG